This 236-nucleotide ribosomal RNA is filed under the name uncultured bacterium. Its description in RNAcentral is "partial 16S ribosomal RNA". It matches the Rfam family "Bacterial small subunit ribosomal RNA", at positions 121 to 353 of the family's 1533-position model. The record is from RNAcentral.
GUAACCUGCCUUAUAGUGGGGGAUAGCCUUUCGAAAGGAAGAUUAAUACCGCAUAAGAUUGUAGUAUCGCAUGAUAUAGCAAUUAAAGGAGCAAUCCGCUAUAAGAUGGACCCGCGUCGCAUUAGCUAGUUGGUGAGGUGAUGGCUCACCAAGGCGACGAUGCGUAGCCGACCUGAGAGGGUGAUCGGCCACAUUGGGACUGAGACACGGCCCAGACUCCUACGGGAGGCAGCAUG